CUCAUUGCUUGAUUAACUUCUAGUUGAGCCACUGUAGUCACUUGGACUAUUUUAACGAUGUCUUUACUAACUUUUCUGGGCCAGCAGGAUGAAAUUACCAAGAAGCCUAUGAAGGAGUGAGGCGGCUCUCAAAUUUCAUCAAAAAUAUCUUAAUUUGUGUUCAGAAGAUGAACGAAAAUGACGGGGUUGUAACAACAUGAGCGUAAGUAAUUACUGAUAGAAUUUUCAUUUUUUGCAUAAACUAACCCUUUAAACAUUACAUUUAAUGAUAACUUGUGACUGGCAAAAAUGUCAUUUCUAAUUAUCAUCUUCUUUAAUACAGAAAAGAGAGAGUGUGAAACCAUCAGCUGUUUGCUGAUUUAUUUACUGUAGUCUGCUAAAAAAGACCUGUCCAGUGUAUACCAACAUGAAAAAAAAAAAGAAAUAAUUCUUGGACUGAAAGAAACUCCUGCGUCCAUUUGGGCUGAAGGUCAAGACAGAACCAAACCAAAGCUGGACUGUAACCUACUGGCCUAUAUGACAGACUUCAUACUGACAGCUACUGGCAUGGAUGCUGCAUCACAUGUUUUUGAACAAAAAAAUUUCCCUUUGAAUUUCAAGUGUGGAGUAUUCAUCCCCCAUGAGGAGACUCUAUGUCUUCAUCUCUUGUGAGUGGAUAUCAUUUUAAACAUUAUUUUACAGAACUGCUCAUUUCUUCUGAAUUUAUUUUGUAGUAUGUAAGAAUUUUCCAUUUAAAAGAAAAAUAAACUUUUAGUUGUGUUUUUAAGUAAUGAAGUAAUUCAUUGU
Molecule: long non-coding RNA, 786 nt
Filed under: Carassius auratus (goldfish)
Lineage: Eukaryota; Metazoa; Chordata; Actinopteri; Cypriniformes; Cyprinidae
Description: lncRNA (ENSCARG00000045232.1)
Source: RNAcentral